GUGAACGCUGGCGGUAGGCCUAACACAUGCAAGUCGAACGGCAGCACAGUAAGAGCUUGCUCUUACGGGUGGCGAGUGGCGGACGGGUGAGGAAUACAUCGGAAUCUACUUUUUCGUUGGGGAUAACGUAGGGAAACUUACGCUAAUACCGCAUACGACCUACGGGUGAAAGCAGGGGAUCUUCGGACCUUGCGCGAUCGAAUGAGCCGAUGUCGGAUUAGAUAGUUGGCGGGGCAAAGGCCCACCAAGGCGACGAUCCGUAGCUGGUCUGAGGGGGAGAUGAGGCACUAUGGAAAUGAGACACGAUCCAAACCCCCUGGGGAGGCAAAAGGGGGGAAUAAUGGACAAAGGGAGGAAGAAUGAUUCCAGCAUAGCCAGUGGGUGGGGAAGGCCUUCAGGGUGUAAAACCCUUUUGUUGGGAAACAAAAGCAGCAGGUUAAUACCCCGCUGUUCUGACGGUACCCAAAGAAUAAGCACCGGCUAACUUCGU
Molecule: ribosomal RNA, 490 nt
Filed under: uncultured bacterium
Lineage: Bacteria
Description: partial 16S ribosomal RNA
Rfam family: Bacterial small subunit ribosomal RNA
Source: RNAcentral